RNAcentral lists this ribosomal RNA (254 nucleotides) under uncultured bacterium. RNAcentral's name for it is "partial 16S ribosomal RNA". It matches the Rfam family "Bacterial small subunit ribosomal RNA", at positions 524 to 776 of the family's 1533-position model. The record is from RNAcentral.
UACGUAGGGGGCAAGCGUUGUCCGGAAUUAUUGGGCGUAAAGAGCGUGUAGGCGGUCCGGUAAGUCGGCUGUGAAAGUCCAGGGCUCAACCCUGGGAUGCCGGUCGAUACUGCCGGACUAGAGUUCGGAAGAGGCGAGUGGAAUUCCCGGUGUAGCGGUGAAAUGCGCAGAUAUCGGGAGGAACACCUAUGGCGAAGGCAGCUCGCUGGGACGUUACUGACGCUGAGACGCGAAAGCGUGGGGGAGCAAACAGG